RNAcentral lists this transfer RNA (72 nucleotides) under Camelus bactrianus (Bactrian camel). It matches the Rfam family "tRNA". From Rfam's summary of the family: Transfer RNA (tRNA) molecules are approximately 80 nucleotides in length. Their secondary structure includes four short double-helical elements and three loops (D, anti-codon, and T loops). Lineage: Eukaryota; Metazoa; Chordata; Mammalia; Artiodactyla; Camelidae. RNAcentral also lists the same sequence under 2 other names. The record is from Rfam by way of RNAcentral.
GAGGGUAUAGCUCAGUGGUAGAGCACAUGCUUAACAUGUAUAAGGUCCUGGGUUCAAUCCCCAGUGCCUCCA